UGCCAGCCGCCGCGGUAAUACGGAGGGUGCAAGCGUUGUUCGGAAUUAUUGGGCGUAAAGAGCAUGUAGGCGGACUGUUAAGUCUGAUGUGAAAGCCCGGGGCUCAACCCCGGAAGUGCAUUGGAAACUGGCGAACUUGAGUACGGGAGAGGAAAGUGGAAUUCCGAGUGUAGGGGUGAAAUCCGUAGAUAUUCGGAGGAACACCAGUGGCGAAGGCGGCCACCUGGACAUUUACUGACGCUGAGACGCGAAAGCGUGGGGAGCAAACAGGAUUAGAUA
Molecule: ribosomal RNA, 279 nt
Filed under: uncultured bacterium
Lineage: Bacteria
Description: partial 16S ribosomal RNA
Rfam family: Bacterial small subunit ribosomal RNA
Source: RNAcentral